AUGGUAUAUAAAAACCAACCUAAUCAUAGAAAAUAUCAGUGAAGAUCCGUAUAGUCACUACGUUCACAUUGUCUUGUCUCAUUUGUUCUACUCUUCGAGUUCACUUUUAUCCAUCAUCAUGUACAAGUUAUUGUUAUUGAUUGUUUCCGUCAUCGCUUUGGUCGCCGCCACUUCUGCUCAAGUUUUCAUCGAUUCACAUACACAAGCACCGUACUACACAUACCCAUCAUAUGGCUACUCUUACCCAGUGCCGUAUAAUCCAUACAUCACUCUCUUCCGUCAAUAGAGACACUGACCAAAUUCAAACACGCCAUGAAGAAACAAGGCAGUUAUUAUCCAGUAUUAGCUUAUGAAGAUAUACGAGUGAAAAUAUAUUUACCCAACACAUAUUUUUGUACAAUUUAUUUUUCUUCAUAACGUUUUUUUCCGGCUUCUUGUAAAACAUUAACUUAUUCACAAUAAAAUAUGAUCAUUUAGACUCGUAAACACGACCAAUGUA
Molecule: long non-coding RNA, 499 nt
Organism: Myzus persicae (green peach aphid)
Lineage: Eukaryota; Metazoa; Arthropoda; Insecta; Hemiptera; Aphididae
Exons: 3
Source: RefSeq, a predicted model, not a curated record